AACGAACGCUGGCGGCAUGCCUAACACAUGCAAGUCGAACGAGACCUUCGGGUCUAGUGGCGCAUGGGUGCGUCACGCGUGGGAACCUGCCCGUAGGCUCGGAAUAACUCCCCGACAGGGGUGCUAAUAUAGGAUAAUGUCUUCGGAUAAAAGAUUUAUCGCCUUUGGGUGGGCCCGCGUUGGAUUAGCUUGUUGGUAUGGUAAAAGCCUACCAAGGCGACGAUACAUAGCUGGGUUGAGAGGAUGAUCAGCCACACUGGGACUGAGACACGGCCCAGACUCCUACGGGAGGCAGCAGUGGGGAAUAUUGGACAAUGGGCGAAAGCCUGAUCCAGCAAGGCCGCGUGAGUGAUGAAGGCCUUAGGGAUGUAAAGCUCUUUUACCCGGGAUGAUAAUGACAGUACCGGGAGAAUAAGCACCGGCUAACUCCGUG
RNAcentral lists this ribosomal RNA (433 nucleotides) under uncultured bacterium. RNAcentral's name for it is "partial 16S ribosomal RNA". It matches the Rfam family "Bacterial small subunit ribosomal RNA", at positions 29 to 507 of the family's 1533-position model. The record is from RNAcentral.